ACGGGUGAGUAAUGUCUGGGAAACUGCCUGAUGGAGGGGGAUAACUACUGGAAACGGUAGCUAAUACCGCAUAACGUCGCAAGACCAAAGAGGGGGACCUUCGGGCCUCUUGCCAUCGGAUGUGCCCAGAUGGGAUUAGCUAGUAGGUGGGGUAACGGCUCACCUAGGCGACGAUCCCUAGCUGGUCUGAGAGGAUGACCAGCCACACUGGAACUGAGACACGGUCCAGACUCCUACGGGAGGCAGCAGUGGGGAAUAUUGCACAAUGGGCGCAAGCCUGAUGCAGCCAUGCCGCGUGUAUGAAGAAGGCCUUCGGGUUGUAAAGUACUUUCAGCGGGGAGGAAGGGAGUAAAGUUAAUACCUUUGCUCAUUGACGUUACCCGCAGAAGAAGCACCGGCUAACUCCGUGCCAGCAGCCGCGGUAAUACGGAGGGUGCAAGCGUUAAUCGGAAUUACUGGGCGUAAAGCGCACGCAGGCGGUUUGUUAAGUCAGAUGUGAAAUCCCCGGGCUCAACCUGGGAACUGCAUCUGAUACUGGCAAGCUUGAGUCUCGUAGAGGGGGGUAGAAUUCCAGGUGUAGCGGUGAAAU
This 589-nucleotide ribosomal RNA is filed under the name Shigella sonnei. Its description in RNAcentral is "bacterial SSU rRNA". It matches the Rfam family "Bacterial small subunit ribosomal RNA", at positions 102 to 687 of the family's 1533-position model. The record is from RNAcentral. Lineage: Bacteria; Pseudomonadati; Pseudomonadota; Gammaproteobacteria; Enterobacterales; Enterobacteriaceae.